GACGAACGCUGGCGGCGUGCUUAACACAUGCAAGUCGAACGGAAAGGCCCUGCUUUUGUGGGGUGCUCGAGUGGCGAACGGGUGAGUAACACGUGAGUAACCUGCCCUUGACUUUGUGAUAACUUCAGGAAACUGGGGCUAAUACCGGAUAGGAUCUCCUGCUGCAUGGUGGUGGUUGGAAAGUUUCGGCGGUUGGGGAUGGACUCGAGGCUUAUCAGCUUGUUGGUGGGGUAGUGGCUUACCAAGGCUUUGACGGGUAGCCGGCCUGAGAGGGUGACCGGCGACAUUGGGACUGCGAUACGGCGCAGAAUCCUACGGGAGGCAGUAGUCGAGAGUAUUGCACAAUGGCCGGAAGCCUGAUGCAGCAACGCCGCGUGCGGGAUGACGGCCUUCGGGCUGUAAACAGCUUUCGCAUGUGACGAAGCGUGAGUGACGGUAAUGGGUAAAGAAGCAACGGCUAACUACGUG
This 468-nucleotide ribosomal RNA is filed under the name uncultured bacterium. Its description in RNAcentral is "partial 16S ribosomal RNA". It matches the Rfam family "Bacterial small subunit ribosomal RNA", at positions 28 to 507 of the family's 1533-position model. The record is from RNAcentral.